RNAcentral lists this ribosomal RNA (487 nucleotides) under uncultured Alphaproteobacteria bacterium. RNAcentral describes it as "bacterial SSU rRNA". It matches the Rfam family "Bacterial small subunit ribosomal RNA", at positions 87 to 609 of the family's 1533-position model. Lineage: Bacteria; Pseudomonadati; Pseudomonadota; Alphaproteobacteria. The record is from RNAcentral.
CGGGGUUAGUGGCGCACGGGUGCGUAACGCGUGGGAACCUGCCUUUAGGUUCGGAAUAACUCAGAGAAAUUUGAGCUAAUACCGGAUAAUGUCUUCGGACCAAAGAUUUAUCGCCUUUAGAUGGGCCCGCGUUAGAUUAGAUAGUUGGUGGGGUAACGGCCUACCAAGUCGACGAUCUAUAGCUGGUCUGAGAGGAUGAUCAGCCACACUGGGACUGAGACACGGCCCAGACUCCUACGGGAGGCAGCAGUGGGGAAUAUUGGACAAUGGGCGAAAGCCUGAUCCAGCAAUGCCGCGUGAGUGAUGAAGGCCUUAGGGUUGUAAAGCUCUUUUACUAGGGAUGAUAAUGACAGUACCUAGAGAAUAAGCUCCGGCUAACUCCGUGCCAGCAGCCGCGGUAAUACGGAGGGAGCUAGCGUUGUUCGGAAUUACUGGGCGUAAAGCGCGCGUAGGCGGCUUUUUAAGUCAGGGGUGAAAUCCCGGAGCU